This 686-nucleotide long non-coding RNA is filed under the name Bos indicus x Bos taurus (hybrid cattle). RNAcentral's name for it is "lncRNA (ENSBIXG00005030273.1)". The record is from RNAcentral. Lineage: Eukaryota; Metazoa; Chordata; Mammalia; Artiodactyla; Bovidae.
UCAACUGUAAGGACUAUUAUUUAUGCCUUUUGUUCAUGUUUCUAUAAUAAUAUUGAUAUUUUCAAAUUUAUAUUGCCGAUACGUAUAUUUUUAAUCUCCUAUCUGUAAAACGUCUCAUCUUGCAAGUGGCUUUGGGGCCCUGUAUUCUAUGUUAUGUUAUGGGCUUUAGAACUUUAAGCUGUAGGUCUUUCUGGUCCUGGAACCCGUAUUUCUGGCUCCACGUGACAUAUACAUUGCCUAAUUCAUUUUUUUUUUUUUACAGAAAUCUUCAGAUUCCAUCCAAUUUGGUCACUUGAUAGAUGUUUCCAUCUCUUUGGGUCACAAGAUCUGUAAGUCUACUUCCACUUGGUUUCUUAAGGCCAUUGGAUUUGAUGAAACCUCAAGAUACUUCACCUGUGGACCGGAUAACUUUUCUUCCUGCCUUGGUCCAUCUAGAGGCAACUGAAUGUCUGGAUAUCUAGGCUGAGGAAAGGAUAAGAGGAACUCAGAGGAGUGAAAAUUCUUUCUGGCCUGAUAAACCAAAAGAAAGACAGUUAAGUGGGGGAGUUGAGAAGUGAGUGAAGAACUUCUAAGCUCACUGAGGAAAAGAAUCAUCUACAAGGGAACUCACUGGACACAAUGCUGUCAUUUGGUAAUUUUGUGUCUUAAAAAAAUUAUAAAAAUAUUACCGGUUUUUAUGAUUUGAC